GGAACUGUUAAGGGUGACUAUUAAUUUCCACCAUUCUUGUCCCUUAUGUGAAUCUCAAUGAUUUUACAUUUUAUUGUUUAAUUAUUUCAUGGAGUAUCUUCAGCCUUCAGGUUUAGGAGCAAUUUUAUUAUUCACACUUUGCAAUAUAAGUGUGAUUUUAAUCAUCUAUGAUUAUGUUCUUGAUUCUAUCCUUUGAACAUUGUCUAAUGCUAUAUCUCUCAAAUAUUUACGUUUCAUUGCAGAUUUGAAGGAGUUAUCCUAGUUGUUUAGAGCAGACUUUGGAGGGGUUUUAAUAACUUUCUACCUCUCAUUUAAUCUAUGUGCAUUCUGAGCUUAGGCCAUCCAUUUUAUCCCAUUCUCAUUUACGGACCCCAGGCAUGCAUGUUGAUCAAUGUGAUUUGACCUCCACAAAACAUUGGCAUCCAACUCUUUAGUUUUGGUUGGAAGUUAUAAAUGUCCACUUGUGAAUGUAAAUUGUUGUGAACUUGGAAUAAGUGAGACUUUGUGAAAAAAUUAUCUUUUAAUGAAAGUCAUAUGAGAUUCUAAUCGACUUUGGUCCAG
This 561-nucleotide long non-coding RNA is filed under the name Panax ginseng (ginseng). RNAcentral's name for it is "long non-coding RNA (PGIN_LNC013666)". The record is from RNAcentral. Lineage: Eukaryota; Viridiplantae; Streptophyta; Magnoliopsida; Apiales; Araliaceae.